Gorilla gorilla gorilla (western lowland gorilla) is the source of this 255-nucleotide long non-coding RNA. RefSeq lists it as uncharacterized. The record is from RefSeq and is a predicted model, not a curated record. The transcript is spliced from 3 exons. Lineage: Eukaryota; Metazoa; Chordata; Mammalia; Primates; Hominidae.
UUUGUUUCUCCGUUAAGAGACCGGGUUUCGGGCCAGGCGCAGUGACUCACGACUGCAAUUCCAGCACCCCGGGAGGCCGAGGCCGGCGGAUCACCCGAGCCAUUUCAGCUUGGUUAAGAAUAUUGCUGGGGAACUAGUGCAGUCAUUUGGAGUACAUGCUCUCCCUCUGCCUUCCGCCAUGAAUGGAAGCUUCCUGAGGCCUUCCCAGAAGCCAAGCAGAUGCCAGCAUCAUGCUUCCUGUACAGCCUGUGGAAC